GCAUAACGUAGUCAAAGUGUAUAACCCGUAAAUUCUCUAGUUGAAGCUCUUCUGGACCGUUAGAAUCGGAAAAGGAUCAUAAAUUGUAUUACAAACAAAAAUAUUCUCUAAAAUGAAGAACGGAAUCAUCAUAAUACUUUUCUGUUUAAUUGUGAUUGCAAUGGAGUUUCCCAUGACCAUGGGGUCGGUAUUGCGUGAGCUAAUAAAGCUGCCCAUAAAAUUACUCACAUACAAAAACAUAACUAACGUCUGAUAAUACCGAGAAAUCUCUUUAGAAUGGUUGCUUCUACAUUGGACAAUUAUUUGCGAAUAUUAGUAAAGUUUAUCAAGAGAUAAAGUUAUUUCUAAAGUCUGAUCUGGUUGCAUCAAUAUACAUUUGCAAGUAUUAAAGCAAUGGAAUAUAAAAGUACGAUUUUUAAUUAUAACUAUAUUCGAUAGUAAUCUUUUAUUCUUAUAAUUAAAUGCUGUAUUUAAUUGUUAGUCUCUGUUUAAUCUCCGAAUCAACUGCAAAAUGAUAAAAUAAAACGCAUCAGUUUAACAUUGUAUUAAAUUGUAUUAAAUUUUACGUAAACUAUC
This is a long non-coding RNA of Ooceraea biroi (clonal raider ant), 576 nucleotides long. RefSeq lists it as uncharacterized. The record is from RefSeq and is a predicted model, not a curated record. NCBI's taxonomy places the organism in Eukaryota, Metazoa, Arthropoda, Insecta, Hymenoptera, Formicidae.